RNAcentral lists this unclassified non-coding RNA (1300 nucleotides) under Bombus terrestris (buff-tailed bumblebee). RNAcentral's name for it is "misc RNA ENSBTSG00005036168.1". Lineage: Eukaryota; Metazoa; Arthropoda; Insecta; Hymenoptera; Apidae. The record is from RNAcentral.
GUGCGUUAAGCAAAUAUUAUCAAGCGAACAGUGAGCUAAAUUGACUGAGACGAUACGUAGUUAGGCUAAUAUUAAACGAUCGGUGGAAUCGAUAAUCAUCACAAUUGAGUCAUUCUGACAUCAAUUGACUUCAUAAAUUGAAACGAACAGGAAAAAUAACGUUUCAAACAUUGUCUUUUAAAUUUAUCUUACAAUUUCCUAUUACAUAUUUGCAUCACCUUGUUGCAACAAAUAAAUAGAUUUGAUGUAUCAUUCGUUUCUCGAGGAUUGUACAUUAAUGUACUUAUGUAAAACGUUGAUAUUGGAUGUUGAAAUUGUCGAGGGGCUCGAUUGUUGCGCAUUAUUGAAGAAACAAAGAAGACAAGCGAACAUGAUGAAACACGCUGCAGAGAGAAGAUUAGAUCCUGGAAGUCCGCGUGUUCAACGAAAAUUAUUUAACGUGGAAUUAACAGAAACGCGGAUAUAAUCUGCGUCCCAGUGAUGAGAUUAUGGUAAUACAACUUGUUUGCUGCUCGACGUGCAGUGACAGUUAGAUUUAACCACCCUUUCGGCGAUAUAAUUGUAAAUGGUAAAAAUGAGCGUGUAUAUGCCUUUGGAAACGUGAUUCGCGAAAUUCGAAACAUAUAUAUCUUGUACGACACGCGACAUUUAUCCCCCGGCUUCUAUAUUUAUUCAGCGGAUUUGGCACGAUACUGAUCUGGCCUAAUAAUCGACUGGCACCUAGACACGUUACAAAUCUCUUUCUCAUCGUUCAGAUAUGUCUUCCGGCUGUUCGAGUACUUAUACAACUUACACCUUGCUCUGCCGGUCGAAAGUACACGGAAAAUGUUUCCAGUUUCAGCAAGAUGUAUUUUAAUCGUAAAGUUAUGGAUAAAUGAGAAAAUCUACAACCUCGCAGUUCUUGCAAUGAUCUUAUUAUCAUUAUUAUACUCGUAACUAUAUUAUAUAAUAAUAUCGUAAUAACUAUAUGAUAGAGAAUAUUUCAACAUUGCUAAGUUGUUUUUUAGAAGCCAACAAGCAAUAAAUUUGGCAUUUGUAAUUGCCAAAUCUUGAAUAAUUUUAGAAUAACUUUCCUCCUUGUCAAGCUUUUUAUUUUCAAACUCAAAUUAAUUUAUAAGUUAUAAAUCAGAUUGACUAGACUCUUCUAAAAUAAUAGAACGGUUUCUGACAUUUAUGCAAAUAAUGAUAUUUAAAUAUAUAUGUAUACCAUAGUAUAUACAUUUAUAAGAUAAUAUAUAUAUAAUCAGUAUAUAUAAUAACGUAUAUUAUUACCAUCAUUUUUAUAAAUUUAAAUAACUUA